Molecule: ribosomal RNA, 413 nt
Filed under: uncultured bacterium
Lineage: Bacteria
Description: bacterial SSU rRNA
Rfam family: Bacterial small subunit ribosomal RNA
Source: RNAcentral
UGCCUAACACAUGCAAGUCGGGCGCGAAAGGUCUUCGGACUGAGUAAAGCGGCGGACGGGUGAGUAAUGCAUGGGAAUCUGCCUGGUAGUGGGGGACAACGUCUCGAAAGGGACGCUAAUACCGCAUACGCCCUACGGGGGAAAGGGGGGGAUCUUCGGACCUCUCGCUAUCAGAUGAGCCCAUGUCAGAUUAGCUAGUUGGUAGGGUAAAGGCCUACCAAGGCGACGAUCUGUAACUGGUCUGAGAGGAUGAUCAGUCACACUGGAACUGAGACACGGUCCAGACUCCUACGGGAGGCAGCAGUGGGGAAUAUUGGACAAUGGGGGCAACCCUGAUCCAUCCAAGGGGCGUGUGUGAAGAAGGCCUUCGGGUUGAAACCACAUUGAGUGGGGAGAAAGGCAAUUUACCUAAU